This 253-nucleotide ribosomal RNA is filed under the name uncultured bacterium. RNAcentral describes it as "partial 16S ribosomal RNA". It matches the Rfam family "Bacterial small subunit ribosomal RNA", at positions 524 to 776 of the family's 1533-position model. The record is from RNAcentral.
UACAGAGGUCUCAAGCGUUGUUCGGAUUCAUUGGGCGUAAAGGGCGCGUAGGCUGCGGGGCAAGUCGGGUGUGAAAUCUCAGAGCUCAACUCUGAAACUGCACUCGAUACUGCUUUGCUUGAGGACUGGAGAGGAGAUUGGAAUUCAUGGUGUAGCAGUGAAAUGCGUAGAGAUCAUGAGGAAGACCAGUGGCGAAGGCGGGUCUCUGGACAGUUCCUGACACUGAGGCACGAAGGCCAGGGGAGCAAACGGG